Molecule: long non-coding RNA, 1135 nt
Filed under: Salvia miltiorrhiza (redroot sage)
Lineage: Eukaryota; Viridiplantae; Streptophyta; Magnoliopsida; Lamiales; Lamiaceae
Description: long non-coding RNA (SMIL_LNC000740)
Source: RNAcentral
GUUUUCAUGCAACCUCUAAAACGUAUAAAUGUCCAUAUGCAUCUUAACAAUUAGAAUUAAACAUCUACAUGUCUGAAAAUUUCUGGAUUCUAUACAGGAUCCGCUCCAGGAGAACUACAGAUUUUAUGGACUCCACAUCGAAUUUGAAGGUUCACAACAAAAUGAUUAUUGCAUCGAAUUUGAAGGUUCACAACAGAUUUUAUGGAUCCGCUGAUUUUGCUUUCCAUUCAGGCCUUCUUCUAAGUUCUACAAGACUAAUCAAUCUACCUAGACAGAAACAAAAUACUGAUUAAUCACCAGAGAAACUUAGAAUUGUGGCAAACAAACACAUGCAAAAAGUUGAAUAAGAGAAUUCCCAUAAAGGUAAGAUAGAAAUUUCCUGUUCGUUGACUAGAAAAGCACACAUUAAACCCAUAUACGAGUUUCAGAAAAUCAUCAACCAAUAUUCAAUUCAAACUACCACCAAAAUAAGCAAACCGCCAGACCAACGAUUCAGUACAUCAGAGUGUAAAUUGCAAAGAGAGACAUCAAAACGAAAGCCGAGAACGCUACACAAUCAAAAACCCUCGAGCAAAAUUGGAUCUUUAGAGAGAGAAAAGAGGGAUUGAGGAAAUCGGAGUAGGUGAGGUCGGCAGAGAGAAGGAGAGGCGAAAGAGGCACCUCCACCACGGCGAUGCACUCAAGAAGACGAAGAAGGACCAAUUUAUUGGAAACAAAUUCAUUAUAAAAUAGCAAAUUCAACAUAAAACACCAUUUCGAACAAAAUACAAAAAUACAAUAAUUCAGAAACUAUUUUUCCGAAAAUACAAUAAUUCAGAAACUAUUUUUCCGACUCACCAUCAUGUUCCCGUUGAAAAAUCCGGCGCAAAUAUCGAGAGCCCUUGGCCGAAACAGUGAUCCCCUCACCGAAACUCUCAGGCACUUUUUUUAUACGCCAUCGUUCUUGAAUCUGAAAAUAUAUUCGGAUUCAGCGUCAAAUUCGCCGUUGAACAAUGUUGCUCUCGGCCAAAAUUUCUGGACGUAUCUUAGACACGGAUACAAUUUCUUCUUUGGGUGGAAAUUUCUGCAAUUUUUUCCUCGGGCGCCCAGCCAAACCAUGGUUACCUUCUUUUUUUCUNNUUUUUUUACAUUACUG